AAAGGUAUCCACAAGCCACAAGGUUGCUAAUAUUAAUUAAAAUCAAACUCAGUUUUAAUAAAUAGAACAUACCCCUUUAUGUAGAAUCCUAGAAGGGGCUGGUCAAAGACUAGAUUGAUUAAAAAUUUGAUGUUUUAGAGACAUGUAAGGUUGCCCACACUUAAACCAAUGUAGUUAACAUUGAUUAAGACAAAACUUUAAAAAGGGUUUCUAGAAACAACUCUUAAAAUUUGGGUCGCUGUAUUUCUUUAUUUUGGGAUAGAUUUGGGUCUCAUUCCACUCUAGCUUAGACUUGAAUUUGAUGCUCAAAUUAAAUCCAAGACUUGGGAAAAAUAUCUCCAUGGGACCCAACUCUUUUUCCAUCACAAGACACUUUUUUUUAUUUCUAAUUGCCGCUCAUUUGAGUUUGUCUUGAACUUCCUUAUUU
RNAcentral lists this long non-coding RNA (427 nucleotides) under Capsicum annuum. Its description in RNAcentral is "long non-coding RNA (CANN_LNC020118)". The record is from RNAcentral. Lineage: Eukaryota; Viridiplantae; Streptophyta; Magnoliopsida; Solanales; Solanaceae.